Molecule: long non-coding RNA, 1355 nt
Filed under: Homo sapiens (human)
Lineage: Eukaryota; Metazoa; Chordata; Mammalia; Primates; Hominidae
Description: non-protein coding lnc-CSNK1A1-1:1
Source: RNAcentral
GAGGAAAGUGAGGAAAGUGAGGCGUCAGAGAGAUGAAGCAACUUGUUUGAAGGCGGCCACACAGCUGGCCCUGAGGAUAUCCAGACCCUAGAGGACCAAUGACAGGCAGACAGGCCCAAGAUGGGAAACCCAGAAGCACUCUGAGAUGUCCUAGACGCUGAGAUGUCCUGCCUGAGACCUCCAGGAUUAACUGAAGGCCAGCAGCUAGUGCUCCUGAGCCCAGUCAUAAGUGACAGUCUAUGAGGGCAAACUGAUCCCCACUUCUUUUCACUCCUUAAGCUUCUACUGAAGCCUCCAGCAGACUCUUGGGCCCCAAAGCUGCUGCGUCCCCUAGAAACACCUAAAAGGAUGCUCCUGGCUGCAAAGCGCCCUGAGCCUAUAACCACAGGAACUGCUCCAUCAGUAUCCAGUGUGCCUGCUUAUUGCCUGGUUACCUGCCCGGCUUGUCCUUGUGCAGAUGCAGUGGAUGCCAGAACACCCUACAGCUGGAGAGAGGCGGGGAAACCCUCAGGUGCUUGUGCCUACGAGCACUGCCCCAGCCUGGCAGCACCAGGGAUGGGAGAGGAAGGAAAGCCCCAGGAAUGCCUGUGGGGUGUGACAGCAGCCCCUGAGUGAAGAGCUGUGCCCAACCCCAGCUAAGCCCUCAGGACCCAGGACAAGGGGCCUUCUUCUACAUAGGAGAGUGGCCUCAUCAGCAUCCCACAUAGAGGGAGGCAGACAGGCCCUGCAAACCUUCCUCUAAACUUCACGCAUCUCCUCGGAAGUCCCUAUAAUAAUGACAAGUAGGUUUAUUGAGCACUAAUGGGCUGGGUGCUUGGCUAAGUGGUUUAUGUCAGCAUCUCAUUUAAUUCUCCGAAGAACCUUGUAUGCUAGUAUUAUGGGGAGCCUGUCUAGUGGGUCAGAAAAUAUGACCGACAAUAAAAAUUUGAAGACAAUAACAACAAUAAUAACAUUAACAAAGGAAACAAUGCUUCCCAGAGAUCUAAGGAAGGGAAAUUAAUGUCUGAUGAAGGGAUGAUUAAAGUGACGAUGGAGAAAGGGAUUUCACAGGAAAUACGAAGAUACGAAAGUAAUUCUUCAGAGAAGAUCUCCACCAAGAACACUCAACCCACAUUCAGGCAGAAUAUGCAAGGAGGCAAACUGUUGUGGACUACGCGAUCUCCACAUGGAAGAUGUCACAUCAAAAAAUAAAAAUAGGCCGGGCGCGGUGGCUCACGCCUGUAUUUCCAGCACUUUAUGAAGCCGAGGCGAGUGGAUCACCUGAGGUCAGGAGUUUGAGACCAGCCUGGCUAACAUGGUGAAACCCCAUCUCUGUUAAAAACACAAAAUUAGCCAGGUGUGGUGGCACAUGUCUG